CUCUCGGCAACGGAUAUCUCGGCUCUCGCAUCGAUGAAGAACGUAGCGAAAUGCGAUACCUGGUGUGAAUUGCAGAAUCCCGUGAACCAUCGAGUCUUUGAACGCAAGUUGCGCCCGAGGCCAUCCGGCUAAGGGCACGCCUGCCUGGGCGUCAC
This 155-nucleotide ribosomal RNA is filed under the name Musa acuminata (dwarf banana). RNAcentral's name for it is "5.8S ribosomal RNA". It matches the Rfam family "5.8S ribosomal RNA". From Rfam's summary of the family: 5.8S ribosomal RNA (5.8S rRNA) is a component of the large subunit of the eukaryotic ribosome. It is transcribed by RNA polymerase I as part of the 45S precursor that also contains 18S and 28S rRNA. Lineage: Eukaryota; Viridiplantae; Streptophyta; Magnoliopsida; Zingiberales; Musaceae. RNAcentral also lists the same sequence under 16 other names. The record is from RNAcentral.